AAUAGAUACCCGGUAGUCCACGCCGUAAACGAUGUCGACUUGGAGGUUGUGCCCUUGAGGCGUGGCUUCCGGAGCUAACGCGUUAAGUCGACCGCCUGGGGAGUACGGCCGCAAGGUUAAAACUCAAAUGAAUUGACGGGGGCCCGCACAAGCGGUGGAGCAUGUGGUUUUAAUUCGAUGCAACGCGAAGAACCUUACCUACUCUUGACAUCCAGAGAACUUAGCAGAGAUGCUUUGGUGCCUUCGGGAACUCUGAGACAGGUGCUGCAUGGCUGUCGUCAGCUCGUGUUGUGAAUGUUGGGUUAAGUCCCGCAACGAGCGCAACCCUUAUCCUUUGUUGCCAGCGGUUAGGCCGGGAACUACAAAGGAGACUGCCAGUGAUAAACUGGAGGAAGGUGGGGAUGACGUACAAGCCAUCAUGGCCCUUACGAGUAGGGCUACACACGUGCUACAAUGGCAUAAUAACAAAGAGAAGCGACCUCGCGAGAGCAAGCGGACCUCAUAAAGUAUGUCGUAGUCCGGAUUGGAGU
Molecule: ribosomal RNA, 530 nt
Filed under: uncultured bacterium
Lineage: Bacteria
Description: bacterial SSU rRNA
Rfam family: Bacterial small subunit ribosomal RNA
Source: RNAcentral